CUCCAGACUCCUACGGGAGGCAGCAGUGGGGAAUAUUGCACAAUGGGGGGAACCCUGAUGCAGCGACGCCGCGUGGGUGAAGGAGCACCUCGGUGCGUAAAGCCCUCUCGGCAGGGAAGAAAAGCGAACAGGUUCGCCUGGACGGUACCUGACUAAGAAGCCCCGGCUAACUACGUGCCAGCAGCCGCGGUAAUACGUAGGGGGCAAGCGUUAUCCGGAUUUACUGGGUGUAAAGGGGGCGCAGACGGCAGCGCAAGCCAGGAGUGAAAGCCCGCGGCCCAACCGCGGGACUGCAUUGGGAACUGGCGCGCUGGAGUGCCGGAGGGGUAGGCGGAAUUCCUAGUGUAGCGGUGAAAUGCGUAGAUAUUAGGAGGAACACCAGUGGCGAAGGCGGCCUACUGGACGGUGACUGACGCUGAGGCUCGAAAGCGUGGGGAGCAAACAGGAUUAGAUACCCCUGUA
Molecule: ribosomal RNA, 462 nt
Filed under: uncultured bacterium
Lineage: Bacteria
Description: bacterial SSU rRNA
Rfam family: Bacterial small subunit ribosomal RNA
Source: RNAcentral